UGGGGAAUAUUGGACAAUGGGGGCAACCCUGAUCCAGCCAUGCCGCGUGUGUGAAGAAGGCCUUUUGGUUGUAAAGCACUUUAAGCAGUGAAGAAGACUUCAUGGUUAAUACCCAUGGACGAUGACAUUAGCUGCAGAAUAAGCACCGGCUAACUCUGUGCCAGCAGCCUCGGUAAUACAGAGGGUGCAAGCGUUAAUCGGAAUUACUGGGCGUAAAGCGAGCGUAGGUGGCUUGAUAAGUCAGAUGUGAAAGCCCCGGGCUUAAACUGGGAACAGCAUCUUAUACUGUUAGGCUAGAGAAGGUGAGAGGAAGGUAGAAUUCCAGGUGUAGAGGUGAAAUGCGUAGAGAUCUGGAGGAAUACCGAUGGCGAAGGCAGCCUUCUGGCAUCAUACUGACACUGAGGUUCGAAAGCGUGGGUAGCAAACA
Molecule: ribosomal RNA, 427 nt
Filed under: uncultured bacterium
Lineage: Bacteria
Description: partial 16S ribosomal RNA
Rfam family: Bacterial small subunit ribosomal RNA
Source: RNAcentral